AUGGUAGAGAUUGUAUUGAAAAAGGUACAAGCAUUUUCAGAAACAUGAUCGAACCAAAAGAAAACAUGAUCCUCAUCUUUUGAUUCCAACGCUUCCACUUUUCCAGCCCAUUCACUUUUCUCCAUCAACUCUUUGUAAUGCAAACCCCUGUCCCGCAAACAAUCUUUCUCCGCAACAACAACAAGGAUCUUGGAACACCCCAAACCCGAAAGAUUCGGGUCCUUUUCCGGGUUAAACCUCGGGUCAUCCAGCCCACUCCCUGACGUCCCCACUUUCCAGAAUUGAUCCGUAAACGCUUUCAACUGCUUAUUUUUCCCAAGUUCCGAUCCAAUCGGGUCACUUCCUCCGAAAUGCGGGUGGAGCAGAAUAAUACCCAGGAGGUUUAUUCCACCAAUCGGGUCUAACCCGAACCGGAUUGCCAAGUUAUGGGCGAUAUUCGCCCCAGCACUAUCUCCUGCGAAAAACACCUUGCUAAAAUCAGCAAAUUUAUUCAACCACGGGUCAGGACCAUGUCCUGACUCAUGGGAAGCAACCCACUGGGCCGCUUCCCAACAGUCGUUGUACCCGACUGGAAGAGGAUACUCCGGCGCCAGCCUGUAGUCAACGGAAACGGCAAUCACGUUUGACUUCGCCGUUAGAUGGUUGAGUGUAGGGUGGUAGUUAGGACUCGUGGUGGAUUCGACUACAAAACCACCUCCGUGGAAGUAAAUCAGAACCGGGAGUUUCUGGUUUGGGGUGGCGGUUUUGGGAAUGUAAAUUCUUGCGGACAGGUUGGUUUCGGGUGAGAUGACGACGUCUUUUGACUCGACUCCGGUUGAAGAAUCGAUUCCAGCAGGCAACUUGUUGUUUCCAAUUAAUCUUUCGCAGCGGCCAUCUUUGUGCACUCUUAUGAAACCAAUGAUUUCGUGAAGAUAUUCAUCGGAUGUUGAUAUCUCUCCCGACCCGAACACAGAAGACAUUUUUCUUAGAUGUUGGUAGUUAAUAUGAUAUUAGCUUGCUGAUAUUUGACUAUAUAACGAACGUGUUUUUCUUAUCAAGUGAAAUAUAAAAGAAGGCACUAUUGCCGCAACCUUUUGUUUACUAAAAUAGUAAAACCCCAAAAUUUGUUUCUUUUUUGUCGUUUGUAUGUAACCCACUAAACAUUCAUAUUGAAUUGAAUUCAUAUACAAUAUAUAAUUUUGU
Molecule: long non-coding RNA, 1182 nt
Filed under: Helianthus annuus (common sunflower)
Lineage: Eukaryota; Viridiplantae; Streptophyta; Magnoliopsida; Asterales; Asteraceae
Description: hypothetical non coding rna
Source: RNAcentral